UACAGAGGUCUCGAGCGUUGUUCGGAUUUACUGGGCGUAAAGCGCACGUAGGCGGUUUGUUAAGUCAGGGGUGAAAUCCCAGAGCUCAACUCUGGAACUGCCUUUGAUACUGGCAAGCUAGAGUCCGGAAGAGGUGAGUGGAACUCCUAGUGUAGAGGUGGAAUUCGUAGAUAUUAGGAAGAACACCGGUGGCGAAGGCGGCCAACUGGACGAAGACUGACGCUGAGACACGAAAGCGUGGGGAGCAAACAGG
This 253-nucleotide ribosomal RNA is filed under the name uncultured bacterium. RNAcentral describes it as "partial 16S ribosomal RNA". It matches the Rfam family "Bacterial small subunit ribosomal RNA", at positions 524 to 776 of the family's 1533-position model. The record is from RNAcentral.